AUAAUGAUUUUGGAUCAUUUAUUACCAUCAAGCAUUCUUAAAAAUUUGAUGCAUUUUUUACUUACCAAAAUGAAAUCUAAGUGAAAUAUACUGUAUGCCAAGAGUGUGAUUUGAACCAAGGACAAGAUAUUUUCAGGACAUGUAUCUAGGACCUGUUUAGACUUUAACACUCUCAUUACAGUAUGUUGCAGGUCAAAUUGACCUACAAGUUUUUUUUAGGGUUAAAUGUUAUAUACUGUAGGACUUUUUUGUUUGCAGCUGUGAGACAUAUUUAAGUCUCACACUCUAAUAUAUUGUCUUGACAUCAUCUAUAACAGUGGUCCCAACCCCCGGGCCGCGGACCGGUACCAGUCCAUGGACCAAAUGGUACCGGGCCGCCCAAGGAACAUUAAAUUAUUUCCAUUUUUUUUUUUUUUUUACUGUGGCGUAUUUCUCUUGGGUUUGCGCGACUUUCCAUAGACGAGAGGUUAACUGAGAGGUGAGAGACGUCACCUAAAGCCGCACCAAUACCGCGCAUGCGCAAAAUAUGUGAUAUCAGGGCUGUUUUAGGGGAUGUCUGGAGUAGUGCUGCAACGACGCGUCGACGUCAUCGAUUACGUCGACUACGAAAAUACGUCGACAUGCGUGAAAUGCGUCGACGCGUCACACUGUUUACAUUCAUCUCGCGUAACGGCGGCUUCUGCUCCUGGGAAUGGAGAAAGUUCCAGUCUAUCACAAAAAGCUAGACCACGAUUAUCAAAAGUAUGGGAAUACUUUAAACAGAGGCCAAAUAAAAUGGCAGCACCUCAGAAGAAGAAAUCCUGGCGCUCUCCGACCUCAAAAGGACGAGCCAUCUUUGUAUAAAAGAGGUGGUUUAUUUAUCCAAUAAACAUCCUGAAAGAGACGAAACAAUAGCUUCUGACCGAAUGCUGAAUGGAGCAGGUAUUGGGCAAAGGCUGUUUGACUUAAAGCAUUAUCUCUCUGACUUGCUGAAAGUCAUCAAUCCCUUUGCUGAGUGAAUAAGACCAGGACGGAGCUCUUCACCGCUGAAAUACUGAAACCGUCUUAUACUGAAUAUUACUAAAAAAUUUAACGUUCCCAAUAUACUGAGGGGAAAAAUCCUAGUGAUGUUCAGUAGACUUCAAAGUAAUCAUGGGUGAAAAUGGCUUAAAUACUUCUAUAUAACUGAAAUCUUUAAUGAACUUUAUUUUUAAUCAAACUCUUAAUUUUAACUUCUGAUAUUUUGGUGGAGGGAAAAUUAAGAUCACUAUAUUAAUUAUUUCAAAUGAAUCUGUAUUUACCUUCAAAUUACUGAUUAUUAAUUAUUACUAUAUAACUAACCACAUUUAA
This is a long non-coding RNA of Tachysurus fulvidraco (yellow catfish), 1329 nucleotides long. RefSeq lists it as uncharacterized. The transcript has 3 exons. Lineage: Eukaryota; Metazoa; Chordata; Actinopteri; Siluriformes; Bagridae. The record is from RefSeq and is a predicted model, not a curated record.